GCCGGGGUGGUGGAAUUGGUAGACACGCUGGUCUUAGGAACCAGUGCCCAAAAGCGUGGAGGUUCGAGUCCUCUCCCCGGCACCA
Molecule: transfer RNA, 85 nt
Filed under: Candidatus Peregrinibacteria bacterium
Lineage: Bacteria; Candidatus Peregrinibacteriota
Description: tRNA-Leu
Rfam family: tRNA
About the family: Transfer RNA (tRNA) molecules are approximately 80 nucleotides in length. Their secondary structure includes four short double-helical elements and three loops (D, anti-codon, and T loops). Further hydrogen bonds mediate the characteristic L-shaped molecular structure. tRNAs have two regions of fundamental functional importance: the anti-codon, which is responsible for specific mRNA codon recognition, and the 3' end, to which the tRNAs corresponding amino acid is attached (by aminoacyl-tRNA synthetases). tRNAs cope with the degeneracy of the genetic code in two manners: having more than one tRNA (with a specific anti-codon) for a particular amino acid; and 'wobble' base-pairing, i.e. permitting non-standard base-pairing at the 3rd anti-codon position.
Source: RNAcentral